This 253-nucleotide ribosomal RNA is filed under the name uncultured bacterium. RNAcentral describes it as "partial 16S ribosomal RNA". It matches the Rfam family "Bacterial small subunit ribosomal RNA", at positions 524 to 776 of the family's 1533-position model. The record is from RNAcentral.
UACGUAGGGUGCGAGCGUUAAUCGGAAUUACUGGGCGUAAAGGGUGCGCAGGCGGCAGAGCAAGUCGAGUGUGAAAGCCCCGGGCUUAACUUGGGAAUUGCGCUCGAAACUACUUUGCUGGAGUGUGGCAGAGGAAGGUGGAAUUCCACGUGUAGCGGCGAAAUGCGCAGAUAUCAGGAGGAACACCGAUGGCGAAGGCAGGUCUCUGGGCAUUAACUGACGCUGAGGAGCGAAAGCAUGGGGAGCGAACAGG